Molecule: long non-coding RNA, 613 nt
Filed under: Bos taurus (domestic cattle)
Lineage: Eukaryota; Metazoa; Chordata; Mammalia; Artiodactyla; Bovidae
Description: long non-coding RNA NONBTAT013640
Source: RNAcentral
ACUGUUUUUACUUAAACCCUUUUUUAAAAAAAUUGAAGUAUAGUUAAUUUACAAUGUUUUUAUUCUUGUCUUGAUGUUAGGGUAUGGCAACUUUAUUCCCCAGCCUAAGUCAGCCUGUGGGUCUUUACUCAGCCAAGUCUGGUUCUGAAACGGGGACACCCCAACCCCCAACUCUAGAAGCUCACGGUCUACUUAGGCAUUCAGGGGACACUUCUAAAAAUGGAACCAGUGGGACCAGGCGUGGUGUUCAUUCAGCAAACAACUGUGGUAUAAGUUCAGUGAUGUUGCAGCACAUGUGGAAGCACUGGGGGCCACACGGAGCCCUAAACUCAAGGCCAGUGGCAGGGUCAAGAAAAAAUACCAAAAUAAAAUAAAAUGUGAUGUUUCUGGGCAGGCCUUUUGUCAGGGAUUCCCAAAUACUUCCCACCUCCAGAUCUUGGUCCCAAACCUGCCUGCUCUACACCUACUGCCACUUCACAGGCUGUCCAUCUUUGGCCGCGCCAAGAAUUCUUGACUUUGGUCCCAAUGUCUCCUGGCAUUCUGCUCCCAAAUCCUGGACAUUCUCUUUUGGUUGACACUUUCAUCCCUCCAACUUAAAUCCACAUACUUUCUU